GGGACCUGUACGCUCCCAGUGUAGCGGUCCAGCGGACUUUUAAUCCGUGGGUUCAGGGUUCGAGUCCCUGUGGGCCCA
Molecule: transfer RNA, 78 nt
Filed under: Propionibacterium sp.
Lineage: Bacteria; Bacillati; Actinomycetota; Actinomycetes; Propionibacteriales; Propionibacteriaceae
Description: tRNA-Lys
Rfam family: tRNA
About the family: Transfer RNA (tRNA) molecules are approximately 80 nucleotides in length. Their secondary structure includes four short double-helical elements and three loops (D, anti-codon, and T loops).
Source: RNAcentral